CUCAGGCAGGGCUGGCCAACCAACAGGGUCAGCUCUGAGCCCGGCUUGGGAGCAAGUGGGGACAUGAAGCUGGUGGCAGCGGCUAAGACGAUUUCCCCGUGUCCUCCCAGAGCGACUUCAUGAGCAGCAGGAAGCCUCAGUACAAACUGUUGGUGACAGUGGCUGUAACUACAAAUCAGGCUGGUGUCUCUAUCACCGGCCUCUUCCUGCAGAACUCCAUGUUGGGGGUCAAAGUUCAAUUUCAAGCACCCACAUGUCAACUCACAGCUGUUUAUGUGAUCUGGUGCCCUCUUCUGACUUACAGAUGUAUGUGCAGACAAAACAUGGAUAAAAUACAGAAGGCCUGACUUCCGAUGGAUGCUGGGGCUCCAAACUCAUGACUGCUCGGCAAGUACUUAUCCAAUGGAGCUGGCUCCCCCAACCCCCUUCCGCUCUUCAGUCUCCCAGGAAUUAUCUGAAGCUUGUAGGAUUGAAGUUUGCCGCCAGGGAGCGCCUGCCAUGCAGUUCCCAAUAAUGUCAUCUCAAUGCCCUGAUACCACCCCCUCAGUCCUGAGCCGGCCUGAUACUGACAUCAUAAAAACAAGAAGAGACUCCCAGUCGAUGUACCAACUGCUGUCAAGACUGCAUUGCUCUGCUCUCCACUCAUUGGAUUUAUACUAGUGCCACCGGAGCAUAGGCUUUUAAAACUCUUACCUGGCUCUUAAACCAACUCGUGGCAGAAUAUGUGCUCACUCGCAUCCCGAGGAAACCCCACAGGGCACACUUACACCCACAUCCACGAAAUAGCACGAACCCAUGUCAAUGUGCUGAUCCUAAGUUUCCCUGACCAUCUCGGAAAGUGUCUUUCUCUACCACCGACCUCGUUAAGAGGCCCAACUCCAGUUCCCCAGAUGGAUUUUGAGUCCGACACAAUGACUGUAACUAGCAAGGCAUGGGUGAUGAUACCCUGGCAAUCAAUUCCACGAAAGCGGAUCAAAGCGUGGGUGCCUUGAAAGGUGAAGCCAGGUUGGCCGCCCACCUGAAGCUCUGGAAUACCUCUGGGCAGGAGGAUGUGGCAAUAGACUGAGCUCUUGUUUUAUAUGAAGUGAGUGUGGUGACAUUUGAAAACUUGCCCAAGGCCAAUGCAUACAGAUAUUAGUCCAAGUAUUACUCAGCUCUUGGAAUCCAUGAGACUUCAGUAAACUUAGCCUAAGGAAACAAUGUAGUCAAGAAUGUGCCUGACUACUAAGAUGGACAUGCACUCUCUUCCCUUACCAGGCAUUUGUGAGCUUUAAGUGAGUCCACAAGACCUGUUCACAUAGACUUGACAAAGAAUACUUAUUCUAUAAA
Long non-coding RNA from Mesocricetus auratus (golden hamster), 1329 nucleotides. RefSeq lists it as uncharacterized. The transcript is spliced from 3 exons. The record is from RefSeq and is a predicted model, not a curated record. Lineage: Eukaryota; Metazoa; Chordata; Mammalia; Rodentia; Cricetidae.